UACGGAGGGGACUAGCGUUGUUCGGAAUUACUGGGCGUAAAGCGCGCGUAGGCGGACCUGCAAGUCGGGGGUGAAAGCCCGAGGCUCAACCUCGGAACUGCCUUCGAUACUGCGGGUCUCGAGUCCGGGAGAGGUGAGUGGAAUUCCUAGUGUAGAGGUGAAAUUCGUAGAUAUUAGGAAGAACACCAGUGGCGAAGGCGGCUCACUGGCCCGGUACUGACGCUGAGGCGCGAAAGCGUGGGGAGCAAACAGG
This 253-nucleotide ribosomal RNA is filed under the name uncultured bacterium. RNAcentral describes it as "partial 16S ribosomal RNA". It matches the Rfam family "Bacterial small subunit ribosomal RNA", at positions 524 to 776 of the family's 1533-position model. The record is from RNAcentral.